This 143-nucleotide transfer RNA is filed under the name Nocardia acididurans. RNAcentral's name for it is "tRNA-OTHER". The record is from RNAcentral. Lineage: Bacteria; Bacillati; Actinomycetota; Actinomycetes; Mycobacteriales; Nocardiaceae.
CGGGGUAGCCCAAGCAGGCAGAGGCACCGCCCCCAUCAAACUCACGUUAUCGCUCCAGCUUCAGUAUUCGCCGCCGAACGCCGAAUCGAGGGAACGGUUCUGGGGCGCGGAGGUUGCGGGUUCAACUCCCGCCGGCCCAGCCA